AAUGAAUGGACCCUACCUAGGGUCCUUGUUUCUCCAAAACCCGAACAGACACCCUGGUCUUGUCACAAACUUAGCCUGUGACCUGCAGCACAUGACUGUCACUCUUGGGCCUCACUUUCCCCAUCUAUAAAACAGAGGUCAUGUGAAAUGAUGGUCUCUAAGGUGCCUUCUAACUGAUACAUUAUGACAAUCUUUCCCAAAGCAAUUGUUAUUCAAUGGCUAAGCAAAAAAGUUAUAAAAUUAUCCCUUGUGGGAAGAUUCAGACCAAGGUCCAGUUUUCUCUACAUGAAAAUGCAACACUUUACAAUGUUGUGUAAGUGCAGAAAGUGAAAAGACAGUCAUUAAAAAGCUGAGAAAAAUAAAGUCAGGAAAGAAUGCCUGCAUAAAUCGCUCAGUCUGACUUCAAAGGGAAAUUUUUUUCCAAAGUAAGAUCAUGAGAAUUGAUUUAUGUCCUCAGAGCCAAUGCAAAUGCAGGAUUUGUACAAUAUCCAUUUAUCAGUUCCAAAGGAGCUGAUUUACGGCCCACCUCUUCUAGUUUGUAUUUUGUCCAGCUCAGAAAGUUAACUGACAACACAGAAAGAAAUAUCCUCUGUCUCAUGGCAGAUGACGGGUUAUAAAUGAGCACAACUUGAUUCUCUGUUCUGGAAAAUUAGUGUUUUGAAACUCUCAUUAGAAAUUAGUCAUUAAAGCUGUUCCCAAACUU
RNAcentral lists this non-coding RNA (703 nucleotides) under Pan troglodytes (chimpanzee). The record is from RNAcentral. Lineage: Eukaryota; Metazoa; Chordata; Mammalia; Primates; Hominidae.